RNA transcript from Helianthus annuus (common sunflower), 1782 nucleotides. RefSeq lists it as uncharacterized. Lineage: Eukaryota; Viridiplantae; Streptophyta; Magnoliopsida; Asterales; Asteraceae. The transcript has 9 exons. The record is from RefSeq and is a predicted model, not a curated record.
UCAUACGUUUCACCACCGCUACUUUGCAAAACCCUAGAAAACUCUUCAGAUCUUGAAUCCCAAUCGUAAUCUACUCUUCUUCGAUCGUCGCCACCCAAAAGUUGCCUCUAAAGAUUGUAUUCAUGGUAAGUUUAUGUAUCCGAUUCGAAGUUCUUGACAUUUGAUUUUGAUAUAUUCGUUUUCAACUGUUAGUCAGAAAGCCUACUUGCCAUGGGAGAUUAUGAUCGGAUUUCUGUUCGUGAAGCUCUUGGAGGCGGCGCAGUUGGAAGUUGAAGUGCGGCUAGGAAUUUCGUCGAACAUGGGAUGACUGACGAAAAACUAUGUAAUGUUUCCGAAGAGGCCUAUGCUCCAUAUUAACUCCCUGUGUUUACGAAAGGCUAUUUAUUUAUUUUCGACAAGAAGCCAGCUCAUUUGCUGAUAAGCCAGUUUGCUUGAUAUGAUAUCAUUGGGGAAGUCGCGAAGGUUAUUUAUUUAUUUUCGACAAUUUCUGUUUUUGUGAAUUUUUGAGUUGCUAACAAGAUUCAUAUGUAUCCAUUGUUGUUUCCUCUUCGUUUGAAACGACCUUGGUAUCCCGGACCUUCAUCUUUUCAAGUUGCACGGAUCCAGAGACUUGCAAGCGCCAGAUUAGUGAAGAUUUUCAGCAGGAGAAAUGUUCUAUAGAUAAUUAAGUCAUAUAUUGCUUACAAACUUUAUGUUACAUUAUUAAUAUUUAUUCGUAUUUAUCAAAUACAUAAGAUCUUACGUUGGUUAGUUACUUAUUAUAUGUAUAGGUACUUUCAAAUACUUUUCUUGAUCGUGGGUUUGUUCGAAAAUCUUGAAAUAGCGUUAGACUCAUUGGCUGUUUGUUGGGCAAUACUUAGAGGUGUGUUGAUGAUAUCAAUCGGGUUUAAUGCUGCCACAAGGUAUUAAGCUGGACGCCUAGAGCGCUAUACUUUCCCGGAUUUGCCACAGCGGAACAGUGUGAAAGUAUAAUCAAGAUGGCGAAAGUAAAACUUGCGCCUUCAAAUUUGGCUUUACGAAAGGGAGAAACGGCUGAAAAUACCAAGGGGAUUAGAACAAGGUAUUGAUAUAGCGUUACCUGUAUGAGGAAAGCUAAAUUAAAAGUUUGGACAUGUUCAUAAGUGCAUCUGAGGACAAAACGGGGAUCUUGGAUCAAAUUGAGAAGAAAAUAGAACGGGCUACAGUUAUCCCAAGAAGUCACGGAGAGAUUAACAUUGCGAUCUGUUGAACAAAGGGACGAAGUUUGCAGAGUUGGAACUUGCUAGAGCUAGACGAUCGAUUCAGCGAGCGGCUACUGUUCGUAACCUUUCUUAGCUUUUGCAAAACGGUGACGUUUUGUCCGGUGAUAUCUAUCAUAACCCCGGCGAGUUUUAUCAUUCGGGCAUGUUCAUAAGUGCUUAUGAGGACAAAACGGGGAUCUUGGAUCAAACUGAGAAGAAAAUAGAACGGGCUACAAUGAUCCCAAGAAGUUACGGAGAGCUGGUCUCAGGUGGGUGUUGAUGGGGCCCAUGAAGUUUUUUUUGUUUAGAAGCACCGGUGGCCCUUGCGUGGAGAAGGGAACACAAAAUACCAAGUAUAUUCAAAGUGUUGUUUUUGUGAUACUUAUGAAACUGAGCUAAAAAUUUGUGGUGAGAAGGGAAAGAUGAUACUUUAGAGGUUCAAAGUGUUGUUUAUGUACUUUAGUUUUUUUCCUUAAAUUUUCGUUUCUCCCAACUAUUUAUGUUUUGAAAUUGUCUCAAACCUUAACAUUCAUAUGUAAAUAUAAACAUUUUUUUUAGGUAA